Molecule: non-coding RNA, 136 nt
Filed under: Thalassionema frauenfeldii
Lineage: Eukaryota; Bacillariophyta; Fragilariophyceae; Thalassionematales; Thalassionemataceae
Source: RNAcentral
CUUUCAAACUAAACAACUACCCAGCGAAACUAUAUAGACUGCAUCGCAGCGAACGAACGAACGAAAGAACACGUAACAACAACAACAAUUUAAAAAAAAAAAAAAAAAAAAAAAAAAAAAAAAAAAAGAAACAUAC